GACGAACGCUGGCGGCGUGCUUAACACAUGCAAGUCGAACGGAAAGGCCCUGCUUUUGUGGGGUGCUCGAGUGGCGAACGGGUGAGUAACACGUGAGUAACCUGCCCUUGACUUUGGGAUAACUUCAGGAAACUGGGGCUAAUACCGGAUAGGAGCUCCUGCUGCAUGGUGGGGGUUGGAAAGUUUCGGCGGUUGGGGAUGGACUCGCGGCUUAUCAGCUUGUUGGUGGGGUAGUGGCUUACCAAGGCUUUGACGGGUAGCCGGCCUGAGAGGGUGACCGGCCACAUUGGGACUGAGAUACGGCCCAGACUCCUACGGGAGGCAGCAGUGGGGAAUGUUGCACAAUGGGCGGAAGCCUGAUGCAGCAACGCCGCGUGCGGGAUGACGGCAUUCGGGUUGUAAACCGCUUUCGCCUGUGACGAAGCGUGAGUGACGGUAAUGGGUAAAGAAGCACCGGCUAACUACGUG
Molecule: ribosomal RNA, 468 nt
Filed under: uncultured bacterium
Lineage: Bacteria
Description: partial 16S ribosomal RNA
Rfam family: Bacterial small subunit ribosomal RNA
Source: RNAcentral